GGGAGGCUGGGAGGGAGCACCGGCCCGGCUGCAAAUAGAAGGCACGCAGCAGCUCCGGCUGCGAGGCUCCAGGCCGGCCCAAGGGCACCGAGGCCCCAGCCUACCGGAGCCAGCACAGAGGCGGGUCUCUCCUCCUACCGUCUCAUUCCUGUCCUAUCUACCCUCUCCUAGUCCCGGACUGGGAGUGGGUCUUACAAGUCGGGACAGAACAGACCCCGCUUUUGCUGGGGCAACGGAGCUGGUGCCCUCACUGUCUAUGCUCAGGAGGACGGCGCUGGGCGACCCACAGAGCCCGCGUGGGGUAUUGCGGGGGGAUGCAGGUUGGACCUCGCUCUACGCCAGGAGGCCGCGCCUGGUCACCUGCCGGACCGAUCCGGAGACGGUUUUAUCAGGCGGGCUCCUGGUAAAAACACGUGCGGAGUCUGCCCUCUCCGACGUAGGGGCACUAGUGGGAGGAAGCCCCGGGGGAGACAGGGUCUCUCUUGGACCCACCUGGUCAUGGAGCGGUUUCCGCGUUAAGAGCCCAACAGGUGCCGAAGGUGGAGUCGGACCAGCGGUCCUUUUACUCUUCCAGGAAGGAAGGGAUCCUUGCCUGCCCGCCCCCGUCACUCCCACCCUUGCUUUUGGAGAGCAGGUCUCUUCAAAUCCUCAAGAUGUCUUUGGCCCUUGAGUGACUCUCCUCAAGUUACCAGAGCCUUGCUGACAAUAGAUAACUGCUGUCCUGUAUGACCCGCAAGACAUUUAAUGAGAGGGAUACCUUGAAGACAAAUAGAUGAAGAUUAGAGACGGGACCAGUAUGUGUACCCAACUUCACAGACAUUCAGAGAUCUACCAGAAGCCCCAGUGCCUGUUGUCCUUGGCAGUGGCCACAGACCUAGAACUAGGAGGCCCAGGCUGCCCUCUACUGGUGGUUCCUGACAAUGACCACACGUACCAGCGCUGGACCUGCGACCCAGAAGGGCCAGG
Long non-coding RNA from Leopardus geoffroyi (Geoffroy's cat), 966 nucleotides. RefSeq lists it as uncharacterized. The record is from RefSeq and is a predicted model, not a curated record. Lineage: Eukaryota; Metazoa; Chordata; Mammalia; Carnivora; Felidae. The transcript has 5 exons.